Molecule: ribosomal RNA, 253 nt
Filed under: uncultured bacterium
Lineage: Bacteria
Description: partial 16S ribosomal RNA
Rfam family: Bacterial small subunit ribosomal RNA
Source: RNAcentral
UACGUAGGGUGCAAGCGUUGUCCGGAAUUAUUGGGCGUAAAGAGCUCGUAGGCGGUCUGUCGCGUCGGCUGUGAAAUCCCGAGGCUCAACCUCGGGUCUGCAGUCGAUACGGGCAAACUGGAGUGUUGCAGGGGAGACUGGAAUUCCUGGUGUAGCGGUGAAAUGCGCAGAUAUCAGGAGGAACACCGGUGACGAAGGCGGGUCUCUGGGCAACAACUGACGCUGAGGAGCGAAAGCGUGGGGAGCAAACAGG